UACGUAGGGGGCAAGCGUUGUCCGGAUUUAUUGGGCGUAAAGAGCGUGUAGGCGGCCAUGCAGGUCAGCUGUGAAAACUCGAGGCUCAACCUCGAGACGUCGGUUGAAACCGUAUGGCUAGAGUCCGGAAGAGGAGAGUGGAAUUCCCGGUGUAGCGGUGAAAUGCGCAGAUAUCGGGAAGAACACCUAUGGCGAAGGCAGCUCUCUGGGACGGUACUGACGGCUGAGACGCGAAAGCGUGGGGAGCGAACAGG
This 254-nucleotide ribosomal RNA is filed under the name uncultured bacterium. RNAcentral's name for it is "partial 16S ribosomal RNA". It matches the Rfam family "Bacterial small subunit ribosomal RNA", at positions 524 to 776 of the family's 1533-position model. The record is from RNAcentral.